This 1372-nucleotide ribosomal RNA is filed under the name uncultured bacterium. Its description in RNAcentral is "bacterial SSU rRNA". It matches the Rfam family "Bacterial small subunit ribosomal RNA", at positions 28 to 1381 of the family's 1533-position model. The record is from RNAcentral.
GAUGAACGCUGGCGGCGUGCCUAAUACAUGCAAGUCGAGCGAACGGACGAGAAGCUUGCUUCUCUGAUGUUAGCGGCGGACGGGUGAGUAACACGUGGAUAACCUACCUAUAAGACUGGGAUAACUUCGGGAAACCGGAGCUAAUACCGGAUAAUAUUUUGAACCGCAUGGUUCAAAAGUGAAAGACGGUCUUGCUGUCACUUAUAGAUGGAUCCGCGCUGCAUUAGCUAGUUGGUAAGGUAACGGCUUACCAAGGCAACGAUGCAUAGCCGACCUGAGAGGGUGAUCGGCCACACUGGAACUGAGACACGGUCCAGACUCCUACGGGAGGCAGCAGUAGGGAAUCUUCCGCAAUGGGCGAAAGCCUGACGGAGCAACGCCGCGUGAGUGAUGAAGGUCUUCGGAUCGUAAAACUCUGUUAUUAGGGAAGAACAUAUGUGUAAGUAACUGUGCACAUCUUGACGGUACCUAAUCAGAAAGCCACGGCUAACUACGUGCCAGCAGCCGCGGUAAUACGUAGGUGGCAAGCGUUAUCCGGAAUUAUUGGGCGUAAAGCGCGCGUAGGCGGUUUUUUAAGUCUGAUGUGAAAGCCCACGGCUCAACCGUGGAGAGUCAUUGGAAACUGGAAAACUUGAGUGCAGAAGAGGAAAGUGGAAUUCCAUGUGUAGCGGUGAAAUGCGCAGAGAUAUGGAGGAACACCAGUGGCGAAGGCGACUUUCUGGUCUGUAACUGACGCUGAUGUGCGAAAGCGUGGGGAUCAAACAGGAUUAGAUACCCUGGUAGUCCACGCCGUAAACGAUGAGUGCUAAGUGUUAGGGGGUUUCCGCCCCUUAGUGCUGCAGCUAACGCAUUAAGCACUCCGCCUGGGGAGUACGACCGCAAGGUUGAAACUCAAAGGAAUUGACGGGGACCCGCACAAGCGGUGGAGCAUGUGGUUUAAUUCGAAGCAACGCGAAGAACCUUACCAAAUCUUGACAUCCUUUGACAACUCUAGAGAUAGAGCCUUCCCCUUCGGGGGACAAAGUGACAGGUGGUGCAUGGUUGUCGUCAGCUCGUGUCGUGAGAUGUUGGGUUAAGUCCCGCAACGAGCGCAACCCUUAAGCUUAGUUGCCAUCAUUAAGUUGGGCACUCUAAGUUGACUGCCGGUGACAAACCGGAGGAAGGUGGGGAUGACGUCAAAUCAUCAUGCCCCUUAUGAUUUGGGCUACACACGUGCUACAAUGGACAAUACAAAGGGCAGCGAAACCGCGAGGUCAAGCAAAUCCCAUAAAGUUGUUCUCAGUUCGGAUUGUAGUCUGCAACUCGACUACAUGAAGCUGGAAUCGCUAGUAAUCGUAGAUCAGCAUGCUACGGUGAAUACGUUCCCGGGUCU